GACAAGCUUGUGAUCAUUUGUCUGAAUAAAGCCAAAAACAAGCUACGAACAUUUUCACUUGGAUUUUAAACAGGUUUUUCAGAUAAGAACAAGGAUACAUUGUCCUAAGAAAAGAUAAAGCCAAUAACAAGCUACGAACAUUUUCACUUUGGAAUUUAAACAGGCUUUUCAGAUAACAACAGGGAUUGCUUGCAAAGGUUCAGCCAUUUGAACGGUGAGUCCAAACUUCUCUUCCAUGUUCAUCUCUUGUGGUGAGAUCCCACCUUCAAGUUUCCAAUCAAAAGAGUUAAUAAGAGAUCCUAACAUCAGAUACAACAUUCGAUUCGCCAAAGGUAAUCCUGGGCAUAUUCGGCGUCCAGCUCCGAACGGAAUCAACCCAAAAUCCCUACCUUUGACAUCAAUUUCGGACCCCAAGAAUCUCUCUGGCAUAAAACUGUUUGGAUUUUCCCAAAUACUUGAAUCUCUACCGAUGGCCCAUGCAUUAACCAACACUUGUGAACCCUCUGGAACGUGGAAACCACAAAGGUCGGUGUCGGAGCCAGCUCUACGCGGAAGUAAUAGCGGGACUGCAGGAUGCAUUCGAAAGGUUUCUUUGAUAAUUGCUUGCAAAUAUGGUAAACUAUUUAUGUCUGAUUCCUCAAUUGGUUUCCCUUUACCGAUUACUUGAUCUAAUUCUUUCUUGACUUUAAGUAAAACAUGUGGAUUUCGAAGUACUUCUGCCAUUGCCCACUCUAAUGUAUUUGAUGUCGUAUCAGUUCCGGCGACAAAUAGAACCUGUCAUCUAACAUGAUUAAACCAAAGAUCUAGCAUUCGUAAUGAAUAGAUGUCAGGAUAUCUUUUUUUCUAAAUAUUAAUGUGUAAAGAUAAGGCGAGAAGAAUAUUUUAUAACCCAAUCACGCCAAGACAGUCUGUUUCAUACAUAUCGAUACGCAAGACACUAUGAGAAAAAAAAACGAACUGGAACCAGGCACGCUGUCCCCCAGAUAUAUUUUUGUGAUUUAACGAAGAAUUAGCAAAAAAAAAAAAUUGGAGAUGAAAAACUCUGGUUAGCAAACAUGAAUUAUAACUGGAUCAUUUAUGAAGAGAAUAAUUAAAGGUAGAUAGAAAAAAUUACCAGAAAUAAGUGUUUGAUAUGAUCUUUAUUAAGUUCUUCGAUAUCGCCUUCAAUGAUGUCGAGAAGAGUAUCCAAAACAUCAUUUGAUGCGGUAUAAUCUGGGGAUUUUCUUGAUUGCUGUCUUUCAUCCAUCAUAUUGCCGAAAAGUUUAAGCAACUUGUCGGAAUGAACAGUCAUCCGGCGCCGUACACCUUGUGGAUCCAUCUUUCUAAGCAAAGGGAAAUAAUCAGCCAAAUUAGGCUUCCCUGCCUCUACCAUGAUACUGUAAACUGUUUUCCUGAAUACUUGCGCUCUAGCUGAAUUUGGGUCAACCAAAUCCACUGAAAACAUAGUGUUGGACAACAAAUUAAUGGUAGUAUCAAAAGCAGCUUGGCCUAUGUUAAUGGCUUCACAUUUAAGGCAACUUUCGCCAACUUUAGCAAUCAGUUGUUGAAUCUUGUGCCGACGCAGGUAUUUAUUGGCAUCGAGUUUCAGACUAGAGAAAAUAUGGGUAUUACCAACUUUGCGAAGAGUUCUCCAAAGCGGCGACACAGGUAUCCAUGGCAUCCCAAAUUCAUGGUGUUGGCUGGCUCGAAUUGCAUCCACAAUGGUUCGGUUGC
RNAcentral lists this long non-coding RNA (1713 nucleotides) under Gossypium raimondii (Peruvian cotton). Its description in RNAcentral is "long non-coding RNA (GRAI_LNC004989)". The record is from RNAcentral. Lineage: Eukaryota; Viridiplantae; Streptophyta; Magnoliopsida; Malvales; Malvaceae.